Podarcis lilfordi (Lilford's wall lizard) is the source of this 79-nucleotide non-coding RNA. Lineage: Eukaryota; Metazoa; Chordata; Lepidosauria; Squamata; Lacertidae. The record is from the annotation of a GenBank genome assembly.
GGCCAUGGCUCAGUCACAGAGCACCUGCUUUGCAUGCAGGACGUCCCAAGUUCAAUCCCUGGCACCUCUGGGUUGGCCC